This 147-nucleotide small RNA is filed under the name Homo sapiens (human). Lineage: Eukaryota; Metazoa; Chordata; Mammalia; Primates; Hominidae. The record is from RNAcentral.
GGAGGAGCCUGGAUGCUGCCUGCAGGACCUCAGGCUGUGCCUGCUGGGCAAAGCCCUGGGCAGGGAAGGAACUGCAGCCUCCACAGAGGGUGGAUGUGGUGGAGAGGUGGGAGGCCAGCUCCUGUCAUCCGAGGUCCAGGCAAGCCA